Molecule: long non-coding RNA, 216 nt
Filed under: Elaeis guineensis (African oil palm)
Lineage: Eukaryota; Viridiplantae; Streptophyta; Magnoliopsida; Arecales; Arecaceae
Description: long non-coding RNA (EGUI_LNC032612)
Source: RNAcentral
AUCUCUGAGGAUAGAUGAUUUCAUACUGUGCCAUCGAUGGAUGAUUCGAGUAUCUCAUCAUAUGCCCAGCACACCUCAUAUCUUGACUUUUCGAAUUUUGACCUCCCCAUAGAUGAUGCAUCUAUGUCAUAUAAGAUUAGUGAGCCAGGAGACAUAUCGCAUGGAUCCGAUGAGCAGCACGUCAAUCAUGCGCAUGGGAGGACCAAAGACAGGGGU